Molecule: long non-coding RNA, 218 nt
Filed under: Rattus norvegicus (Norway rat)
Lineage: Eukaryota; Metazoa; Chordata; Mammalia; Rodentia; Muridae
Description: long non-coding RNA NONRATT031654
Source: RNAcentral
GAUCUCAUGUCAUCUGUGAUAAUUAAAUAGUUCUUCCACAUGUUACCAUUUUUAUCUGUAGGGAGCGAAGUCGAUGUCGACAAUGUGGAUAAGGUUCUUGGAGACAUGGGAAUAGAGCUUUCUGACUCAGAGAUCUCUAAACUAGUGAGCAGCGUGCCCGUUGAUGAUGGAAAGGUCUAUCUGGGAAGGUUGCUGGACAGCAUAAGACUUCUUAAAGG